CCAGGGGUGGCGGAGUGGACAAUCGCACCAGGCUGUAAACCUGGCGGGCUUUGGCCCUACGCAGGUUCGAAUCCUGCCCCCUGGA
This 85-nucleotide transfer RNA is filed under the name Pseudomonadota bacterium. RNAcentral describes it as "tRNA-Tyr". It matches the Rfam family "tRNA". Rfam says of the family: Transfer RNA (tRNA) molecules are approximately 80 nucleotides in length. Their secondary structure includes four short double-helical elements and three loops (D, anti-codon, and T loops). RNAcentral also lists the same sequence under 1 other name. Lineage: Bacteria; Pseudomonadati; Pseudomonadota. The record is from RNAcentral.